AGUUUGAUCAUGGCUCAGAUUGAACGCUGGCGGAAUGCUUUACACAUGCAAGUCGAGCGGCAGCGCGGGGGCAACCCUGGCGGCGAGCGGCGAACGGGUGAGUAACACAUCGGAACGUACCCAAUCGUGGGGGAUAACUAUCCGAAAGGAUAGCUAAUACCGCAUAAGUCCUGAGGGAGAAAGCGGGGGAUCGCAAGACCUCGCGCGGAUGGAGCGGCCGAUGGCGGAUUAGCUAGUUGGUGGGGUAAAGGCCUACCAAGGCGACGAUCCGUAGCUGGUCUGAGAGGACGACCAGCCACACUGGAACUGAGACACGGUCCAGACUCCUACGGGAGGCAGCAGUGGGGAAUUUUGGACAAUGGGCGCAAGCCUGAUCCAGCCAUUCCGCGUGAGUGAAGAAGGCCUUCGGGUUGUAAAGCUCUUUCGGCAGGGAAGAAACGGUGGAGGCUAAUACCUUCCAUUAAUGACGGUACCUGAAGAAGAAGCACCGGCUAACUACGUG
Molecule: ribosomal RNA, 502 nt
Filed under: uncultured bacterium
Lineage: Bacteria
Description: bacterial SSU rRNA
Rfam family: Bacterial small subunit ribosomal RNA
Source: RNAcentral